AUGAACGCUGGCGGCGUGCUUAACACAUGCAAGUCGAACGGUAGAGGGGCAACCCUUGAGAGUGGCGAACGGGUGAGUAAUAUAUCGGAACGUGCCCAGUCGUGGGGGAUAACGCAGCGAAAGCUGCGCUAAUACCGCAUACGAUCUAUGGAUGAAAGCGGGGGAUCGCAAGACCUCGCGCGAUUGGAGCGGCCGAUAUCAGAUUAGGUAGUUGGUGGGGUAAAAGCCCACCAAGCCGACGAUCUGUAGCUG
Molecule: ribosomal RNA, 252 nt
Filed under: uncultured bacterium
Lineage: Bacteria
Description: partial 16S ribosomal RNA
Rfam family: Bacterial small subunit ribosomal RNA
Source: RNAcentral